This 248-nucleotide ribosomal RNA is filed under the name uncultured bacterium. RNAcentral describes it as "partial 16S ribosomal RNA". It matches the Rfam family "Bacterial small subunit ribosomal RNA", at positions 108 to 353 of the family's 1533-position model. The record is from RNAcentral.
GAGUAACGCGUGAGGAACCUGCCUCGGAGUGGGGAAUAACACACCGAAAGGUGUGCUAAUACCGCAUAAUGCAGUUGGGUCGCAUGACUCUGACUGCCAAAGAUUUAUCGCUCUGAGAUGGCCUCGCGUCUGAUUAGCUAGUAGGCGGGGUAACGGCCCACCUAGCCCGCGAUGGGUAGCCGGGUUGAGAGACCGACCGGCCACAUUGGGACUGAGAUACGGCCCAGACUCCUACGGGAGGCAGCAUG